GAUGAACGCUGGCGGCGUGCCUAAUACAUGCAAGUCGAGCGAACGGACGAGAAGCUUGCUUCUCUGAUGUUAGCGGCGGACGGGUGAGUAACACGUGGAUAACCUACCUAUAAGACUGGGAUAACUUCGGGAAACCGGAGCUAAUACCGGAUAAUAUUUUGAACCGCAUGGUUCAAAAGUGAAAGACGGUCUUGCUGUCACUUAUAGAUGGAUCCGCGCUGCAUUAGCUAGUUGGUAAGGUAACGGCUUACCAAGGCAACGAUGCAUAGCCGACCUGAGAGGGUGAUCGGCCACACUGGAACUGGGACACGGUCCAGACUCCUACGGGAGGCAGCAGUAGGGAAUCUUCCGCAAUGGGCGAAAGCCUGACGGAGCAACGCCGCGUGAGUGAUGAAGGUCUUCGGAUCGUAAAACUCUGUUAUUAGGGAAGAACAGAUGUGUAAGUAACUGUGCACAUCUUGACGGUACCUAAUCAGAAAGCCACGGCUAACUACGUG
This 497-nucleotide ribosomal RNA is filed under the name uncultured bacterium. RNAcentral's name for it is "partial 16S ribosomal RNA". It matches the Rfam family "Bacterial small subunit ribosomal RNA", at positions 28 to 507 of the family's 1533-position model. The record is from RNAcentral.